Molecule: ribosomal RNA, 429 nt
Filed under: Bacteroidota bacterium
Lineage: Bacteria; Pseudomonadati; Bacteroidota
Description: Bacteroidetes bacterium partial 16S ribosomal RNA
Rfam family: Bacterial small subunit ribosomal RNA
Source: RNAcentral
UAGGGAAUCUUCGGCCAUGGGGGGAACCCUGACCGAGCAACGCCGCGUGAGUGAAGAAGGUUUUCGGAUGGUAAAGCUCUGUUGUUACGGAAGAACGAGUGGGAGAAUGGAAAGUUCAUACUGUGACGGUACUUAACCAGAAAGGGACGGCUAACUACGUGCCAGCAGCCGCGGUAAUACGUAGGUCCCGGGCGUUGUCCGGAUUUAUUGGGCGUAACGCGAGCGCAGGCGGUUGGAUAAGUCUGAAGUUAAAGGCAGUGGCUCAACCAUUGUAGGCUUUGGAAACUGUUUAACUUGAGUGGAGAAGGGGGGAGUGGAAUUGCAUGUGUGGCGGUGAAAUGCGUAGAUAUAUGGAAGAACACCAGUGGCGAAGGCGACUCGGUAGUCUGUAACUGACGCUGCGGCUCGGAAGGGUGGGUAGCAAACAGG